This 243-nucleotide ribosomal RNA is filed under the name uncultured Acidimicrobiales bacterium. RNAcentral describes it as "partial 16S ribosomal RNA". It matches the Rfam family "Bacterial small subunit ribosomal RNA", at positions 524 to 776 of the family's 1533-position model. The record is from RNAcentral. Lineage: Bacteria; Bacillati; Actinomycetota; Acidimicrobiia; Acidimicrobiales.
CACGUAGGGGGCAAGCGUUGUCCGGAUUUAUUGGGCGUAAAGAGCUCGGUAGGUCAGGUGUGAAACCCUCGGGCUCAACCCGGGGACGCCACCUGAUACUGCCAUGGCUUGAGUCCGGUAGGGGAGCGUGGAAUUCCUGGUGUAGCGGUGAAAUGCGCAGAUAUCAGGAGGAACACCAGCGGCGAAGGCGGCGCUCUGGGCCGGAACUGACGCUGAGGAGCGAAAGCGUGGGGAGCAAACAGG